UGGCAGAGAACCGCUAAUUUGGUUUUGUCGCAUAUUCAGAUAGUCCAACGUGGAAGCCAUUAUCCAAAACCAAUCUGGCACCGUGUUAGAUAUGCUUGUGUUGAGAUAUCAAGAUAUACUAGGCGCGUUAGCCAUCUAAGCCACAAUGGGAAUUUCGGCCCGAGAAGGCAUGAACGAAUUUCAAUAUCUGAUAGAUUGGAAGAAGGAACCCACGCCGGAUUCACUUUGAGGGCUAUAGAGUUAUAAGACAGCCACAACUUCUCCAAGCUUUCUAGGCCGGAUAAAUGACCUUCAUGUAUCAAACCAGAGAGGUUAUUAUAGCUCAGGUCCAGAUCAAUUAGCUUUGCGAGAUCUCCUAUCCAUAGUGGCAAAGGACCGGUGAGAUCGUUAAAGCUGAGAUCGAGGCUGAUCAGAUUGCUUAACGGUUCUAGUUUGGUUGGUAGGCUUCCUGUCAAAUUGCUCACAGGCAGAGAUAUGUGUGUCAACCUAUCCCAUGAACAACUAGGCAAGCGUUGGAAUAAUUCUGUUAUCCUUCCGUUGAUGUUAUUUUCGCCUACAAGGAAUUCUUCCAAGCUACAUAGGUUCUCCAGGUUUGAUGGUAUCAUGCCCACAAGGUUAUUCCCUGAUAAAUCAAGCGUUACUAUCGAGGUCAUAUUACCUAUCCCAUCCGUGAAUCGGCCAUAGAAUUGAUUAUCUGCGAUAUUUAGAUACUUAAGGCUAGUUAUGUUGGCAAUUAUGAUAGGAAGGGCUAAGGAAGCUAGUCAAGUGGGUGGCCUGGUUCCUCACCUCGUUGAUGGAGGUGUGUCCAUCCUUCAGUACGCCGAUAAUACAAUCAUCUUUAUGGAGCAUGACUUGGCAAAAGUGAGAAAUAUGAAGCUGGUGUUAUGCCUAUUUGAACAAUUGACCGGGUUAAAGAUUAACUUUCACAAAAGCGAGUUGUUCUGCUUUGGUAGAGCCAAAGACGAACAAGAGGCAUAUAGGCAAUUGUUUGGGUGUGAUUUGGGGGCUUUACCUUUCACAUACUUAGGAAUACCAAUCCACCAUCGUAGGCUGACAAACAGAGAAUGGAAGGGCAAGCUCAUGUCAUACGGAGGCCGAUUAAUUCUGAUAAAUUCGGUUCUCACGAGUAUGCCUAUGUUUCUUUUGUCGUUCUUCGAAGUCCCAGUUGGAGUAAGGAAAAGACUGGACUUUUAUCGAUCACGAUUCUUUUGGCAGGGUGAUGAACUAAAACGAAAAUACCGUCUAGCCAAAUGGGAUAUCAUCUGUAGACCGAAAGACCAAGGGGGCCUUGGUAUCGAGAAUCUUGAAGUUAAGAACAAAUGUCUUCUCAGUAAGUGGCUGUGGAAGUUAUCUAGUGAGACUGAUGCCACUUGAGCGCAAAUUCUCCGUAGCAAGUAUCUUCAGACCAAAACUUUGUCUCAGGUGACAGUAAGGCCGACUGACUCACCUUUUUGGAAAGGGCUUAUGAAAGUCAAAUUAUCCCUGUUUAAUAGGACAAAGUUUAUUGUUGGUAACGGUGCUAGUACGCGAUUCUGGGAGGAUACUUGGCUCGGAGACACACCCCUAGCCAUCCAAUACCCGUCUUUGUAUCGUAUUGUUCAACGACGUGAGGUGUUCGUUGCAACGGUAUUUCAAUCUAUCCCCCUUAAUAUUCAGUUCAGAAGGGUACUAGUGGGCAAUCGUUGGGAAGAACGACUCCGUCUAGUAAGUAGACUGAUGGAGGUUCAUCUUUCUCAACAACCCGGUGAAUUACGCUGGAAGCUUACUAGGUCCGGAGUAUUUUCAGUUAAAUCAAUGUAUGUUGAUGUUAUCAAUUCAAACCCGAUUCCUAGUUCCAAACAUGUUUGGGCUGUCAAAGUUCUUUUGAAAAUCAAAGUGUUUAUGUGGUUUGUCCAUAAACAAGUUAUUUUAACCAAGAACAACUUGACAAAGCGUAAUUGGACAGGACCUACUAGGUGUAGUUUCUGAGAUCGGGAUGAGACGAUCAAACAUCUUUUUCUUGAUUGCCAGCUAGCCAAAGUUUUAUGACGGAGGGUCCAUAUUGCUUUUAAUAUUACUCCACCGAAUUCUGUCAACACGUUAUUUGGAACAUGGCUUAACGGGAUAGAGCCCGAUUUAGCGAGACAUAUUCGCGUAGGAGUCCGCGCCUUGUUGUGGGCUCUCUGGAAUUGCAGAAAUGAUUUGUUUUUUAACAGGACAACACGCAUUCAUUUUUUGCAGGUUAUUUUUCGAGCCACGGCGUUGAUCCGUUCGUGGUCGCUACUCACUCCGACGGAGGCCAGGGAGCGUUUGGUUACUGGAUCUAUCCGCUGGGAGAUGGUAGCUCGGGAUAUCUUCAACCGGUUUGGAUGGUGGUCAUGUAAUAGGAUAGACAAUUAGUUUACCUAUCUAUCUUUUUGCCCGCCGGUUGUGGUGUCCUUUAUUUGGCUAGUUUGUCUUCUAGCUUUUUUGGCUCUGUGUGAGCUCUCUCUUUUUUAUUUUUAUUUGGAGACUUUAAGACCUUGUUGGAACCUAUUUAUUUGUUUAAUAAGAGGGCCGUAUGCAUCGUUCUGAUGCAGAGGCCGGGGAGUCCCCUUUUCAAAAAAAAAAACUCCUAAAACCAGUUGGGUGUGAUAUAUGUACGGAAGUUAUUGGCAGAAAGGUCUAGUCUUUCAAGAGAUGUCAGAUUUGAAAGCUGAAGUAAUCCAGAGCUAGUUCUAAGGAAACAAUUGCGGAGGUAAAGAACUUUCAGAGAUGGAAGCAUGUUCAUCACCGGAAGCCAGUGCACAACUGUACUGAGGUCCACAAAGGUCAGGUCUAGGUGCUCAAGGGAAGUUAACCGUGACAGCCAGGUGAUACCAUUGGAGUAUGUAUUAGAAGCGAGAUUUAAGUACCGUAGGCUGGAGAGAUUUCCCAGCUGCGGUGGUAUCCUUCCCGUGAACAUUGACAUAGAUAGGUCGAUGUAUCUCAACUUGUGGAGAGAACCUAUGAACUUUGGUAUUUGCACCCCAUCGAACCCAUUGCAGCUGAGGUUGAGAUACUUUAGUUGUUGCAAACCAAGCAACGAGGAGCUGAUGUUGCCUCCCAGCACUUGCGUCAUCGUAUCGUCAUUAUGGUCGCAACCAUGGCCCGGGAGAUCGAGCUUGACAACGUGGUUGUUUCUGCUGCUACAGUAGACACCCUUCCAUUUGCAGCAGUCAUCACCCUUCCACGAUGAAAGGAGGUUCGCAGGGUCCAAGAGGCCUGCUUUGAAGCCGACAAGCGCGGAUCUCUCGUGGGCGAUACAGCCGGUGACUGUAUCGUUUAGAUGGCAACAUGAUGAUGAUGAUGAUGAUGAUGAUUCUAUAAACCCCUUUCCAUGGGUGAGCAAGAGAAGGGCAGCUAAUAUCGCUACGUGAAUGUGGGAGAGUAGAAGCUUGUCCAUUGGUGCUUUUGCCAUGGAUAUAUGUUUCUUCUUGAUGUAGGGUACAAACCGCGUGGUUUGCUAUAAAUUGUGUAUAUUAUCCAACAAUAUACGCUUCAUUUCCUGAUGCUGACCUAUCAUAAAUGUGAGUACAUCUUGGAGGAGAAAAAUCUCGAAGAGUCGUAUUAUUGCGAUUUCUCUGAUGCCGACCAGCCAUAAAUGUGAGUACAGCUUGGAGGAGAGAUUUCUACAGGUGAAAAGGAUACGGUAAGUCAUUCUAGGCCGAAUUCCCGUCCAGGUUCAGUGAGUGUAUUCUCCAAGCAUCUCAAAAUGAGUGAGACUGCUGACUGAAUGAGGAGCACAGCAAACGACGACCUGGGUAUGAUGACUUGGAAUUCCAGGCAUCAAGGUUGUUUUCGCGUUGCCGUAUACGGCAGGGCCUCCGGCCAUACCUUCUGGGAAGUGAAUGAAAGCAUCAGAACCACAUACAUACCUCAAGGUGAGUGAUGCAGAUCAUAUCCUCUCGAAUUAUAUAUUUGUGCACACGUUGACGCCCCAGAGUAACCAACCAACUAGUACGCUUGAUUCUGUCACUAUGUACAGUAGUUAAAAAGAACCAACCAACAUAAUAAAAAUCCUAUCCUGUAACACCAAUUGUGUUUGACACUCUUGCACAAACUAAAUUCUGGUUGAGAGUAAUCCUAGUCCUAUCUUUCUGAACAAACAUGGUGACUAUGCAUUUAUUUCAGUAAAAUUUGUUUGACUGAACAAGUCCGAAACCUGUACUAGUGUCAGCGCCCAGUAUAAUGCGUCGAGUGAUUUGAUCUUCACAAUAAAACCGUUUUGCUACAAUUUCCUUUGUGUUUGACACUCUUUUACAUAGUAAAUUCUGUCUCUCGGAAACCCUAGUCCUAUCUGAACAGACACCAGAGAUAUGGGUUGGAUUCAGAGAUAUGCCAAAUUAGUUCACAUGAAGAAGUCUGGACCCCUGUACGAUGUUUCCCUAGGGAUAUGCGAAAUCACGUCCACGCCCGGCAUAGUUCAUCGAUAGAAAGAAUCAACAUAGUAAAAUCCUACACUGUAAUAUCACUUGUGCAGACUAAAUUAUCUAUGUCAGAAAUCUUAGCCGGAGUCGCAUGUGGUAAAUUAGUUUCUGAAAAAGUCUGAACCCCGACACCCCGUGCGUUGUUUCCCUAGGUAAGAAAAUGUCUCUGCGCCCAGUAUAGUGCAGCGAAUGAAAGUGUCGAGUUAGGUCUGCGUGCGCAAACCCAGCCAAAGGCUGCUGCCUGUGGCUGUUCACCUUAUACAACCUUAAUUUGUGGUACUAGCUUAAAACUUCGGCACGCACGCCGACAACCGUUGCAAACUUUGGCCACCAGUUAACUUCACAGAUUGAAACACACACACCCGGAACAGGGGACUUGGUGCUGCCCCUGGCAUUAUUCAUUACACAUCAACUUUACAUGCCCAAUCCUUAUUCUAAGGCACAAUCCUCAAAUACAUAUCUGUGAAAAAUAGUAGUACAAUACUAUAAAUCCCCACACCCUACAUGGUAGAAAAUGGAGAACCAGCGUGAGCUAGCGAUCGUUCUCAGCUUCUGUGGUUUUUUUUCUAGUCCAGGAAGCCCAUGUAACGGCCACUUGCACAUAGACCCAAUCACACAACCUGUCCCAGAUGGAGUACCACUUAACUCGCCAUUUCCUCUUGAACAAGAAGGCGCAAAAGACUACCCAGAGACCCAUUACAUAUCCAGAACCCAUAGCGAUGAAAAACGAUACCUCAUCGUUUAAAUCUUCAUGGUGUUCUCGAGUAGCUGGGAUUGGCUCGGUUUUUGAGCAUUUCUGUAAGAGAGGAGGACCGCAUAGGCCUGGGUUGCCAAUAUAAAUACUAGUUGGAUCCUCAAGUGUUUGCAGUUGAUCUCCUGAUGGUACAUGUCCUGUCAGAUUGUUAUAGGACAGGUUCAAGCGACUUAAUGAUGUCAGAGCCGAUAAGCUUGUAGGGAUUUCGCCAGACAACUCAUUGUGUGACAAGUCCAGCGACUCCACCUGUGCCAGGGCGCCAAUAUUCUCAGGAAUGUUUCCACUAAAGCUGUUCCAUGAUAAAUUCAGAUUCUUCAAUCCGACAAGAGUGCUGAUUUCUUCGGGAAUAUCUCCAAUAAGAUUAUUACAAGAUAAAUCAAGAUUCACCAUAUAUAUGAUCUCUCCUGUAUAUAAUCUCUCUUGACCCUUUGUGACAACUGUGGAAUUCUCGGUAUAGCUGAUCAAGGCAUUAAGAGCAGUUGUUGAUUGCCAAUUUAAAGCAUCAUCGAAAUCACCACCACCGCCGUCAUCUCUUGUUAUCAUCCUCUUGCAGUUAACAAUAGAUUUGGGUAUGCUUCCUGUUAUGUUAUUGUAGGCAAGGUCCAAAUACUGAAGAUUCACUAGCUUCGUAAGCUCCUCUGGAAUGUUACCAUAAAACAUAUUUGAACGCAGCCGUAAGAACGCCAAAUAUGGAAUCUUCUCCCAAAUCCAUGUUGGCAAAGUCCCAAAGAAAUGGUUCUGACCAAGAUCAAGAAAGACGAGCUCCUUGCAGUAUUGGAGAAAGGAAGGAAACUCACCAGAGAGGUUGUUGUUUCUCAAGCUUAGAUUAAGAAUAUUCAUGCUUGUGUUGUUUGGUGUGGAUGUAUCAUAGGAGCAGUUAGGAAAUGGUCCAGUUAGCAUAUUAUUGGAGAUAUCCAAUAGACACAAUGAUCGAAUUUUGCACAAAGAAGACGGAAUGGUGCCAGAGAUGGAGUUGUCAAAUAGAAUAAGUGCUUCUAGAUUUGGUGCUCCAAAGUCUAAUGGUAGUGGCCCGACGAAAUUAUUUCUACUAAGAUCCAAGUUAGUCAAAUUAUUGGGAAGCUUAGGUAUUGGGCCAUUGAACUGGUUAGAACUGAGAUCAAUUGUAAUUGCUCUCAGAAAUUCCAUUGUAGAUGGCAAAUGACCUCUAAUUCUAUUCUGUCGCAUAUUCAGAGAAGUCAACGUGGAAGCCGUUAUCCAAAACCAUUCCGGCACUGUGUCAGAUAUGCCUGCGUUUGAGAUGUCAAGAAGGUCUAGACGUGUUGGCCAUCUAAGCCACGGUGGAAAAUUAGGCCCGAGAAUGCAUGACCAAAGUCCAACAUCUGUUAGGUUGGAAGGAGGAACCCAUGUUGAAUUCAUCGCGAGGGCUAUGGAGUUAUUAUUGAAUAACAACAUCUCCAAGCUUUGUAAACCUGAUAAGUGACCUUCAUGUAUGAAACCAUGUAGGUUAUUGUAGCUCAGGUUCAAUUUAGUUAGCUUUGUGAGCUCACCUAUCCAUAGUGGCACAACACCAGUGAGAUUGUUACCAGCUAGAUUAAGGUGGAUCAGAUUCCUUAAAGGUUCUAGUUUGGUUGGUAGGCUUCCUGUCAAAUUGCUGAAAGGUAGAUUCAAGUUUAUCAAUGUAUCCCAUGAACAACUAGGCAAG
This 6844-nucleotide long non-coding RNA is filed under the name Triticum aestivum (bread wheat). RNAcentral's name for it is "long non-coding RNA (TAES_LNC009516)". The record is from RNAcentral. Lineage: Eukaryota; Viridiplantae; Streptophyta; Magnoliopsida; Poales; Poaceae.